RNAcentral lists this ribosomal RNA (268 nucleotides) under Serratia marcescens. Its description in RNAcentral is "partial 16S ribosomal RNA". It matches the Rfam family "Bacterial small subunit ribosomal RNA", at positions 871 to 1139 of the family's 1533-position model. Lineage: Bacteria; Pseudomonadati; Pseudomonadota; Gammaproteobacteria; Enterobacterales; Yersiniaceae. The record is from RNAcentral.
GCCUGGGGAGUACGGCCGCAAGGUUAAAACUCAAAUGAAUUGACGGGGGCCCGCACAAGCGGUGGAGCAUGUGGUUUAAUUCGAUGCAACGCGAAGAACCUUACCUACUCUUGACAUCCAGAGAACUUUCCAGAGAUGGAUUGGUGCCUUCGGGAACUCUGAGACAGGUGCUGCAUGGCUGUCGUCAGCUCGUGUUGUGAAAUGUUGGGUUAAGUCCCGCAACGAGCGCAACCCUUAUCCUUUGUUGCCAGCGGUUCGGCCGGGAACU